RNAcentral lists this ribosomal RNA (1101 nucleotides) under human gut metagenome. RNAcentral describes it as "bacterial LSU rRNA". It matches the Rfam family "Bacterial large subunit ribosomal RNA", at positions 1462 to 2641 of the family's 2925-position model. The record is from RNAcentral.
UGAAGCUUAUCGAUACCGUCCUCAGAGCCGGGUGUUGGUUCCGGUAGAGAUCGAGGGAAAUUAGUACCGAAGUCUGAGAUGGAAGAUGGCGAGAAAAGCUGUGUGUAUUUCUGAGGUGCCCGUACCGCAAACCGACACAGGUAGGUAGGAAGAAGAUUCUAAGGCCAACGGGAGAAGGGUUGUUAAGGAACUCGGCAAGUUGACCCCGUAACUUCGGAAUAAGGGGUGCUCACGAGAGUGAGCCGCAGAGAAUAGGCCCAGGCAACUGUUUACCAAAAACACAGGUUUGUGCUAAAUCGAAAGAUGACGUAUACGAGCUGACGCCUGCCCGGUGCUGGAAGGUUAAGAGGAGAUGUGCAAGCAUUGAAUCGAAGCCCCAGUGAACGGCGGCCGUAACUAUAACGGUCCUAAGGUAGCGAAAUUCCUUGUCAGGUAAGUUCUGACCCGCAUGAAAGGCGUAAUGAUUUGGGCACUGUCUCAACAGCCCGCCCGGCGAAAUUGUAGUACCGGUGAAGAUGCCGGUUACCCGCGACAAGACGGAAAGACCCCAUGGAGCUUUACUGUAGCCUAAUAUUGGGUUUCGAUGUUGCAUGCACAGGAUAGAUGGGACACUGGGAAGCAGGUGCUUUGGCGCUUGUGGAGUGGCCGUUGGGAUACCAUCCUUGCGAUAUUGGAAUUCUAACCUGCGCCUUUGAAUCAAGGCGGGGGACAUUGUUAGGUGGGCAGUUUGACUGGGGCGGUCGCCUCCUAAAGAGUAACGGAGGCGUUCAAAGGUUCGCUCAGCUUGAACGGAAAUCAAGCAAAAGAGUGCAAACGCAGAAGCGAGCCUAACUGCGAGACUGACGGGUCGAGCAGUAACGAAAGUUGGAGUUAGUGAUCCGGUGGUAUGUGAGUGGAAAUGCCAUCGCUCAACGGAUAAAAGCUACCCUGGGGAUAACAGGCUGAUCUCCCCCAAGAGUCCACAUCGACGGGGAGGUUUGGCACCUCGAUGUCGGCUCAUCGCAUCCUGGGGCUGUAUUCGGUCCCAAGGGUUUGGCUGUUCGCCAAUUAAAGCGGUACGCGAGCUGGGUUCAGAACGUCGUGAGACAGUUCGGUCCCUAU